RNAcentral lists this ribosomal RNA (716 nucleotides) under uncultured Staphylococcus sp. RNAcentral's name for it is "bacterial SSU rRNA". It matches the Rfam family "Bacterial small subunit ribosomal RNA", at positions 60 to 758 of the family's 1533-position model. The record is from RNAcentral. Lineage: Bacteria; Bacillati; Bacillota; Bacilli; Caryophanales; Staphylococcaceae.
AGUCGAGCGAACAGACGAGGAGCUUGCUCCUCUGACGUUAGCGGCGGACGGGUGAGUAACACGUGGAUAACCUACCUAUAAGACUGGGAUAACUUCGGGAAACCGGAGCUAAUACCGGAUAAUAUAUUGAACCGCAUGGUUCAAUAGUGAAAGACGGUUUUGCUGUCACUUAUAGAUGGAUCCGCGCCGCAUUAGCUAGUUGGUAAGGUAACGGCUUACCAAGGCAACGAUGCGUAGCCGACCUGAGAGGGUGAUCGGCCACACUGGAACUGAGACACGGUCCAGACUCCUACGGGAGGCAGCAGUAGGGAAUCUUCCGCAAUGGGCGAAAGCCUGACGGAGCAACGCCGCGUGAGUGAUGAAGGUCUUCGGAUCGUAAAACUCUGUUAUUAGGGAAGAACAAAUGUGUAAGUAACUAUGCACGUCUUGACGGUACCUAAUCAGAAAGCCACGGCUAACUACGUGCCAGCAGCCGCGGUAAUACGUAGGUGGCAAGCGUUAUCCGGAAUUAUUGGGCGUAAAGCGCGCGUAGGCGGUUUUUUAAGUCUGAUGUGAAAGCCCACGGCUCAACCGUGGAGGGUCAUUGGAAACUGGAAAACUUGAGUGCAGAAGAGGAAAGUGGAAUUCCAUGUGUAGCGGUGAAAUGCGCAGAGAUAUGGAGGAACACCAGUGGCGAAGGCGACUUUCUGGUCUGUAACUGACGCUGAUGUGUGAAA